This 958-nucleotide ribosomal RNA is filed under the name marine metagenome. RNAcentral's name for it is "bacterial LSU rRNA". It matches the Rfam family "Bacterial large subunit ribosomal RNA", at positions 1953 to 2925 of the family's 2925-position model. The record is from RNAcentral.
AAGGUAGCGAAAUUCCUUGUCGGGUAAGUUCCGACCUGCACGAAUGGCGUAACGAUUUCCCCACUGUCUCCAACAUAGACUCAGUGAAAUUGAAUUCUCGGUUAAGAUGCCGAGUAACCGUGGUUAGACGGAAAGACCCCGUGCACCUUUACUGCAGCUUUGUAUUGGUAUUAGGGGACAGAUGUGUAGCAUAGGUGGGAGACUUUGAAGGAGUGGCGCUAGCCAUUCUGGAGUCACCAGUGAAAUACCACUCUUCUGUUCCUUGAUGCCUAACCAUACACCGUUAUCCGGUGUUGGGACCAUGCAUGGUGGGCAGUUUGACUGGGGCGGUCGCCUCCCAAAGAGUAACGGAGGCGCGCGAUGGUAGGCUCAGAACGCUUGGAAACCGUUCGUCGAGUGCAAUGGCAUAAGCCUGCCUGACUGCGAGACCCACAAGUCGAGCAGAGACGAAAGUCGGUCAUAGUGAUCCGGUGGCACUUCGUGGAAGGGCCAUCGCUCAACGGAUAAAAGGUACGCCGGGGAUAACAGGCUGAUCUCUCCCAAGAGUCCAUAUCGACGGGGAGGUUUGGCACCUCGAUGUCGGCUCAUCGCAUCCUGGGGCUGAAGCAGGUCCCAAGGGUUUGGCUGUUCGCCAAUUAAAGCGGUACGCGAGCUGGGUUUAGAACGUCGUGAGACAGUUCGGUCCCUAUCUGCCAUGGUUGUGGAAGCUUGAGAGGAUCUGCCCUUAGUACGAGAGGACCGGGGUGGACGUACCUCUGGUGUACCUAUUGUAGCGCCAGCUGCAUCGUAGGGUAGCUAUGUACGGAAUGGAUAACCGCUGAAAGCAUCUAAGCGGGAAGCCAACCUCAAAACUAGGCUUCGUUAUAGGAUCGUGGAAGACUACCACGUUGAUAGGCUAGGUGUGGAAGUGUGGUAACACAUGAAGCUAACUAGUACUAAUAAUCCAAUGCUUGAAUUA